This 377-nucleotide ribosomal RNA is filed under the name uncultured bacterium. RNAcentral's name for it is "bacterial SSU rRNA". It matches the Rfam family "Bacterial small subunit ribosomal RNA", at positions 521 to 896 of the family's 1533-position model. The record is from RNAcentral.
UAAUACGUAGGGACCAAGCGUUGUUCGGAUUUACUGGGCGUAAAGGGCGCGUAGGCGGCGUGGUAAGUCAAUUGUGAAAUCUCCGAGCUUAACUCGGAACGGUCAAUUGAUACUGCUGUGCUAGAGUACAGAAGGGGCAAUCGGAAUUCUUGGUGUAGCGGUGAAAUGCGUAGAUAUCAAGAGGAACACCUGAGGUGAAGACGGGUUGCUGGGCUGAUACUGACGCUGAGGCGCGAAAGCUAGGGUAGCAAACGGGAUUAGAUACCCCGGUAGUCCUAGCCCUAAACGAUGAAUACUUGGUGUCUGGAGUUUUAAUUCUCCGGGUGCCGUCGCUAACGUUUUAAGUAUUCCGCCUGGGGAGUACGCUCGCAAGAGUG